This is a non-coding RNA of Ilyonectria robusta, 142 nucleotides long. NCBI's taxonomy places the organism in Eukaryota, Fungi, Ascomycota, Sordariomycetes, Hypocreales, Nectriaceae. The record is from the annotation of a RefSeq genome assembly.
GGCGAUGUGGUUCAAUGGUAGAACAUCUAGGAUAUAGCCCGCGAACGGCCUGUGUGGCCAUAGAGUGUACGAUGCUUGUGUUCGAGCGUGCGUACUGGAGGGUAUACCUGGAAGGUACCUGGUUCAAAUCCAGGCGUCGUCA